Molecule: long non-coding RNA, 1804 nt
Organism: Strigops habroptila (Kakapo)
Lineage: Eukaryota; Metazoa; Chordata; Aves; Psittaciformes; Psittacidae
Source: Ensembl
GAAAAUGUAAAAUAGGAUACCUGCUUCCCAAGUAGUACCUGCUAAGCCCUGCCAUGUGAAAUUCUAUGAAACUGAAGAAAAUGCGAUAACGUGCAGUAAACAAGACUCUAAUGCUGUUUAGUCUGAAUGACUUUUCAAUGCAUUCUGAUGGCAAAAAUACCACAGGACCACACCAAAUAAAGAGAAAAUACAUUAAUAUUGCAUUUCAGAUGGAAUCUACGACUGACUUGCAAGACAGACCUUACAAAUUCAGAAACAUAUCAAAACUACUGCAGCUACUGGACCCCCUAGGUUCUUAGCGUUCUUAGUCUAUAGCAAAAAAUUCAUUAUUUUCUUUUUUCUCCCCCCCCCCCCCCCAAGGAAUUUUGUCAAAGGACUCGUGUACAAGAUGUUAUGUUAAUAACAAAAAUAAUAUUUCAUAGGGCCUUCAGGGAAAAGGUUAAUCAUAUGAACUGUCUAAAUAGACUUAAAAAAAAAAAAAGGGGGGAAUAAAACAAGCACCUAAAUCAAGAAAAUCCACAUAUUGAACGUCAUCGGGUAAUAUCCACCAGUUGAUAGCCCUGUAUAUGUUUUUCACUCAUACAGUUACAAGGUGUCACAUUUCCACCAUUUUUCCUCUGACCACAUGUAAUACUAUUCCCAGGCCAAACUGUUCAGCAAUUACAUUACUGUCUGCCAAGAGUCCACCCAUCAUUCUUCUCGCUUAUUUUCCAGUGUGACUCUAUUGUCCUUGAAUUAGAUAUUCCUAUAAUGUUUUAUUAAAUCUUUCUUAUGCUACCUAACACACAAAGUUGGAAGAAAAAGAACCAAAUUUACUACCUUAUUAUCCUUCAAACCUCUUAUAAUUUGAUCCUACUGGAGUAACUACAAAAAUACCUGUUGGGGGCUACAGAGCUGCUCAUUCUGCUAAUCGUGAAUGAUGGAGAUGAAUCCAAUCACUGCACCAGGUUGUUUCAGACUGGUUUGCCUUUAUUCUAACAGAAAUCAAAUUUUUGAUGGUGUUCUAGGUUUAUCCAACAUUUGGGAAAAGGUAACUAUUUUCUUUUGGCCCAUCACUAACUAUUCAAAAGAUGAAUGAACUGUUUAGGAAGCUAGUUGGUAACGUAACUGAUAUAAGCAUAUCAACAAAAGAGUUUAGGCUUUGUUACUUUUUGUCAAAUGAGUGAACUAGAGAUCUGACUAUAAAAGUUCCCAGAAGCCUUCAAACAUGGUGUUAUCGCUAUCAAUCAGACUCACUUGAACAGCACAGAAAUCAACAACAGUAAUCUGUUUACAGCAAGAUGAGCAGAUAGAUCUUCAAGCUAAAACAAUUUCACAUGUUCAUAACAGUCUUAUCUCUUACAUCCAAACCCAUUAUGUAAAUAGAAAACAAAAGGAGAUAAUAGCAAAUAUAAGGAGACAUGUGAAUACAAUUUUUUUCUAACAAAAUAUCGUGGGUUUCUCUAUUGCCACUCCAGUUUUUUAGAAGCUUAUUCAAACUCUAUUUGAAUAUGCUUGAACUGGCUGAAAAGACACAUUCCACAUAAAUGAAAAUGUAAAAUAUAGUAAUAACAACAAGGGAAUCAAUAAAUACAAGAAGUCAGAGAGAAUCAAUUUCUUAAAUUCUUAUUUUGUUUUCAUUUUAAAGGGAUGUAGUAACUGUUAAAUAAAAAUAACAUUUUUAAACUAAUGUUUUUUUCUGAAUGUGAACUUUUUUUUUUAAAUAUUUCAAACCAAGCAUUUAACUUUUGAGAAAACUUCAUUGUCUUUAAGUUGAUGUCAACCUCAAUAAACAACAAAAAAUAAAAAACUCUUUGAAAAGAAA